Non-coding RNA from Angiostrongylus costaricensis, 72 nucleotides. The record is from Rfam. NCBI's taxonomy places the organism in Eukaryota, Metazoa, Nematoda, Chromadorea, Rhabditida, Metastrongylidae.
GCCUCAUUGGCUCAGGGGCAGAGCGUAUUUCUAGUAAACACAAGGUCGCUGGUUCGAUUCCAGUAUGAGGCA